This 253-nucleotide ribosomal RNA is filed under the name uncultured bacterium. RNAcentral describes it as "partial 16S ribosomal RNA". It matches the Rfam family "Bacterial small subunit ribosomal RNA", at positions 524 to 776 of the family's 1533-position model. The record is from RNAcentral.
UACGUAGGGUGCAAGCGUUGUCCGGAAUUAUUGGGCGUAAAGAGCUCGUAGGCGGUUUGUCGCGUCGAAUGUGAAAACCCGGGGCUCAACCCCGGGCCUGCAUUCGAUACGGGCAGACUAGAGUUCGGUAGGGGAGUCUGGAAUUCCUGGUGGAGCGGUGAAAUGCGCAGAUAUCAGGAGGAACACCCGUAGCGAAGGCGGCACUCUGGGCCGAUACUGACACUGAGGAGCGAAAGCGUGGGGAGCGAACAGG